UGAAAGUUUGAUAUCUGUGCAAUUCAAUUGCAGGCAGCAAGAACAAUUGACAAUUCAAGGUUGAGUCGUUGAGUCAUGGAGGAUCUGCUCCAAUUAGUUUUGCUUGCUCUCAGGUAUUGCUUCUUGCUCUAAGCUGUCCAAUAAUACAAGUUUGCCAAUGCCCUUCUGUUACAGUGUUUCUAAGUUCAUAGCAGAUUAUUGCAUGUGAUUAAAUCAAGUUUAGUAUCAAAUCUGAGUUUACGUUUUGCUUAAUCCAAUCUUCUUUAUAAGGAUUGAUUACCGACAUAAAUUUGAUGUAAAAUGGAUCAUCUACUCUGGUUGUAAAAGAGGGUAGUCAUUUUCAUAAUUCUCACAAAAUUUCUCCAAUUCAAAGAUAAAUUACAUUGAGAAAACCUCGUAAUCACACUCAUACAUGAUUUUUUUUUUCUUUUUGGAAAGACAAAGAAUGUUUGACUAUAAUAACAGCAUAUAUGUUAUUUGUUACAUACAAUAUCUCACCAUUAUAUGACUGCGGGCCUCAACUCAAAAACACAUCAGAAAAUUUCAGGUAGAUGUUGGCCUUUCAGAAAUGACUUGAAUAACACCAGUGAUCUCUCUGGCUGCGAGUAUGGAACCUCAUGAGAAGCGCCUCUGAUUGUAGCAAAUGACAGGAUGUUGCCAUAAACUUGAGUCCAUCCACCAACCUAAAAGGCAGAAUGGAAUCAAUAUCUGAUAUGAUUUCUCACUAAACAUGCUUGACUAUCUGUGUCUUAUGAGAUAUUCUAUUACCUGUUUUUCUGCAAACCAGGCUUUAUAAGGCGCAGUUGUGUUUAGUCCCAAGUCCUUCGCCAGUCUAUGAACAAGGGUGCGGCUACCAGUCAAUGGAAUAACAGAAUCUUGAUCUCCACUGUAUGAUUUAUGUUAUUAGAAUAUAUAACACCUCAAUAAUCUUAUUAAGGACUGGUUUAAGUUUUGAGUUUACCUGUAAACCAAAACUGGAAUUCCAGCCUUGAUAAGUGAUCCAACAAUAGAGAUUGUGGGUAUCUCUAGGUUGAGCAGCUCAUAAUCCAGAAUGCUAUGAUAAAAAAAAAAAAGCUUAUUUUUUCAAGAAACUUUACUUUUCAUAACUAAUUAAAGCACCAGAUGGCAAUGCAAAAUUCAGUUUUGAAAAUUUCAGGAAAACUUUACAGACUCAGCUAAAAUGAGUUUCCUUUUUAGAAUAUUUUCUGCCGUUAUUCUUUUGUUACGUUAGUUGUAACUUGGUGAAAAUUAGGCGAAUAGCAUUGCACAACUUUAGUGAUGCACUAUUAAAAGCAGGUGUAUCAUUAUUUAUUACGGUUGUUAUUUUAUAUUGGAUCAAAUUGGUUGGUUUUCGUUAAGCGCCAAUAGGGCCAUAUGCCAGUUAAUUAUUGAGGUUGCUGGAUGAAGGAAGUAACAAUUUGUAAUUAAUAUAUCAUUAUGACUGAUUCUUUUUGGUCUUUUUGUGCUUUUAUAUCUUAGCAAGGCAUAAGAGAAAUUACUUGCUACAAACUUCCCAUUUGCGAACCCCAACAAGCCGGGCAUGGAAAGCCUUCUGCACAUCCUUUCGAUUCAGGUAGUUCAUGGUUUCAUCAUCCACGCAUACAUCUAUCCUCUCUGAUACUUGCUGCGAAAGAAGAAUUAUAAGCAAAAAAUUGGAGUUAAAAAAAACGUAUGGACAAGAAAGUUGGAAGGCGAUUGGUUUUGCAGGGAGGACUUACUUGUGGUCUCAAAACCUUUGAUUGUGAGAGAACUGAUGGAAUACAAACAUCAAGGGUAACAUCAUAUUUGUCCACAAACCUACUGGUUUCUCUAUUAACUAGGCUCAUAACGUGCGAACAAAUAGUUGAAACUGAGUCUCUGUAGUAUUCACUUACGUAUCUUGAAUAGUUACAAGCAGAAGUGAACAUUUUGUAUGUUGCGUCUGAUAUCAGCCCAUGAGACCAUAAGUACUCAGCUCUUGAAUUGAAGUCUGUAGCAAAUUCUAGAACAGGGUUGCCCAAUGCAAUGCCUUUCAAGUGGAAUAACUUUUCCUUUUUGUUGAUUUCAAUCAUAAGCUUUGCAAGUUGAGGAAUAUAGUGGCCUGCAUAACUCUCCCCUGCUAUAAACAAGUCCCUAUGCCUAUACUGAGGGAACUUGUUGAACCAGCGUUGCAGGAAUACAGCAUUGUCCCUGGCUGUUGCCUCAUCAUCCACUGCCACAUAGGAGGAGCUAUCAGUGGCAUAAGAGAACCCCACUCCAACUGGUGUCUCCAAAUAUAACAUAUUUGCUUCUCUGUUCCAGCUAUACUCAUUUCUCACCAAAACCUUCCCAUUUGGUCUAAAAGGUCCAUUUUCAGAGAAAGCCCCUACUCCCAGAGAAGAACAGCCAGGCCCUCCAUUCAACCAGAGAACCAAGGGCUUGGAAGCUGGAUCUAUUUCUGCUUCAACAAAGUAAUAGA
RNAcentral lists this unclassified non-coding RNA (2437 nucleotides) under Hevea brasiliensis (rubber tree). The record is from RNAcentral. Lineage: Eukaryota; Viridiplantae; Streptophyta; Magnoliopsida; Malpighiales; Euphorbiaceae.